Molecule: long non-coding RNA, 2028 nt
Organism: Lagopus muta (rock ptarmigan)
Lineage: Eukaryota; Metazoa; Chordata; Aves; Galliformes; Phasianidae
Exons: 3
Source: RefSeq, a predicted model, not a curated record
GAGGGAGUAGCUUCUCUUUGAAUUAAGAUUACACUCUUCUCAACUAUCACUGGGUUAGCAGCUAAGGGAAUGCCAUCUCCCUGAAGAGAGAUCCUGUUUCUUCUCUUAAGCUGUCACUUGUUGGAAGAGUUUCUAUUCAUUGAACUUACUGAAUCAAAUUUAUAAAAGAUUAGUCUGAAAAUACAAAGAAUUUUGGAAAGCACCAGUGAGAUUGGUAAUUUGUUAGUUGCGGUGGCAUCCUUUUAUUCUACGUACAAGAAGUACUAUGAGGUGGAAUGAACACAGUGAAGAGUGCAAUAUUGAGGAGAAGUUUCUGCAUGGGUAAGUUGAGUCUGAAAGUUCCUAACAAAUGGGUUUUCAGUACCUCUCUGAAGAAUUCUAAGGCUGAUUCAAGGAUUUUGAGGUAAAAAUUAUUUCUAUAUGAUUCUCUCAAAUGAACUGCCGGAACUAUGAAUAACAUGGCUGCUUUUAUUUGACUAUCUAAAAAUGAAUAGGGAUGAUGGCCUGAAAUGGACAAGGAAGAUUAUGGAGAUAUUAAUGAGGAGCAGCUAUGGACCUCAUGUUUUUGUGUGGUUAACAAAUAUAGAAAAUAUAAGCAAAAAGCAGCUGAAAGACUGAGGCUAUGAGAGAGAGAGCAAGCUAGAAAGAACUUGAGUGGGAAGGGAAAUAAACUAUUACGAAGGGAUGUGGAUACUAGCACUGGAGAGCAGCUGGAGCACCCAGAGGAUGUAGACAGAGGAUGUUGCAGGGCUAGCAGCAAGGAAGCCUAAGUGUACUGAAAACACAAGGAGCCAAUGUAUUUGUGACUAGUUUGGGACAUGUCUGCAAGCAAGUGGAAGAAUGGGAAAUAAUUUAUGCUGUGAAUAGACAUUUGUGCUCUGUGUUCUGUCACACAACCAUUACAAUUUUACUUACCCUUUCGUUUACAGAUAAAUGCCUAUGUUUUUUAAGGUAAACAGCUGUUAUGGCAAGUCUUUGCAAAUGAUUUGCAUCGCUGAAUACACUGUCAGUGAUCAGAGAGAAAUGGCCUAAGCCUCUACAUUUCUUUAGUUGGCACUUUCAGUAUUUUUAGCUACUUUAUGAAUAUUAAUAUGCAAUAAUUGUGUUUCCAGAGUUAAUAUAGAUACUUCUGUGACGAGAGAACUUACUUAUAAUGCUUCAUAGAUGAGUUCAAUAUAUUGGAUAUUUUCAUUAGUGUCUUUAGGAUGUAACUUAUAGGCAGUAAAUUAUUAAAUCUGGAAUAAUACAGUGGCAGAAUAAUAAGAUGCUGCUAGAUGGCUUUUUGGAUUAAAAUAUCUCUUUCUGUGUAUUGCAUAAUAUGUACAAAAACAGAAACCAGUAUCUGGUUUAUUUAGACAGAAAGCAGCUUCUCACAGCUUUGUACUAAAUUAUUCUUUUCUAAAAUAUAAAGACAGUGGUUGGAAGGUCUAUAAAGUGUCAAAACUACUACUAUUUUAUUUUCUUGAAAGAAUUUAUUGAUUGAAUGUAGAAAUGUUCUUUUGUUCUUGUGGCUUGUUUGUGACAUUUAAGAGGAAGAUAUUUUUUUCCCAUUAUUAUUCAAAUGAUAAUAACAUUUCCAUGUCUAUCUCUGAGCCCAAUCUAUGAAUUUGCAAAAGGUAAAAAUUAGAAGAAAAAGUUUUCUGAAGAAACUGUUGUAUAUUAUUCUAUAGUCUGACAAUGAUAUGGAUGUAUUACUAGUAUUGUUGCUUUACAGUAAAAGUAGUCGUUAUUUAAAUCAGGGUUUAUACCAUUCAGUCCUUCCUAGAGCAUUUCCUUAGACUGUCUUAAAGGGCAUAUUUUAGACAUGACCACAGAUUAAAGACGGUAGGGCUGGAGAGAUGUCAGUAGUAUGAAAUUACCAUAAAUAUGUUGGAGUUCAGUGCGGAUGUGUGAGUCAAGAUGAUUAGCUUCUUUCAUUUACACUGAGUUUCUAAGUAAAUAUGUGCUUUCUUUCUAGGUCUUGAUUUUUAUUUUUAACUUUUAGAAAAAGUGCUAUUUUUCUUUCACUUGAAUGUUUCAACUUUUGGA